AUUACUGCUACCAAACCCUGCUCAGAAUGAGAGGAACUGCAGGUUUAGUCAUUUGGUAUAUCUGCUUGACUAAAGAGCCAGUAGUAUGAAGCUACCAUUUGUGGGAUUGUGACUGAAUGCCUCUAAGUCAUAAUCCCCUCUAAAUAUAACAAUACUCCAGUGCCGUGGAGUGUUGGUUGGUCCCAGACAGAGAUGACUGUAGGGGGGUGCAGGCCCCAGGGCAAAUCAGCCUGUGCGAGUCCCCUUUAACACUGCAAGAGACAGGGCUGCGGCCACUCCGCCUAGCUCCUGCCCAGCUCCGCAGGGCCCCCCAAAACACAGGGCCCAGGGCAGUUGCCCCAAUUUCCUCUCCACCCCCCCACAAAGGAUGGCCCUAAUCUCAGAUAUUUGGUCACCCCCCAUGAGGGGGUAGGCAGAGCUCUUUCUUUUGGGACCAAAGCACAGACAGAAGAGAGCCACCUCUCACUGCAUGUUCAUGGGGAACCUGGUGCUAAAUCAUUAGAUGACCCAAGUCUGGGUCCGGGCUUUUUAUGUAGCACAGUAGCUACCUCACUGCAAUUUAUUAAAAGUCAGCCCUUGACACAAGCUUU
Molecule: non-coding RNA, 590 nt
Organism: Alligator sinensis (Chinese alligator)
Lineage: Eukaryota; Metazoa; Chordata; Crocodylia; Alligatoridae
Source: Rfam